Molecule: ribosomal RNA, 253 nt
Filed under: uncultured bacterium
Lineage: Bacteria
Description: partial 16S ribosomal RNA
Rfam family: Bacterial small subunit ribosomal RNA
Source: RNAcentral
UACAGAGGGUGCAAGCGUUGUUCGGAAUUACUGGGCGUAAAGCGCGUGUAGGUGGCGAGACAAGUCGGAUGUGAAAUCCCUCGGCUUAACCGAGGAAGUGCAUUCGAUACUGUUUUGCUCGAGUACCGGAGGGGAUGGCGGAAUUCCCGGUGUAGAGGUGAAAUUCGUAGAUAUCGGGAGGAACACCUGUGGCGAAGGCGGCCAUCUGGACGGUCACUGACACUGAGACGCGAAAGCGUGGGUAGCAAACAGG